RNAcentral lists this long non-coding RNA (1367 nucleotides) under Sinocyclocheilus grahami. Its description in RNAcentral is "lncRNA (ENSSGRG00000053615.1)". The record is from RNAcentral. Lineage: Eukaryota; Metazoa; Chordata; Actinopteri; Cypriniformes; Cyprinidae.
GCAGGACCUGGGGGCUUCACCAAAGAUAAGGUAAGCUAUUAGUUACCUCAUUGGUAUUUAAAUGGUAAAUUAGAGAUUUACAGUUUAUCAUUUGCAUCUUUUGCUUUUUUUCUUCUUAUUAUUUUAUAGACAUUAGGGUCUAUUCUCAACCUUGAUAUGGUUCAGGAGAAAUCUGGAUCUGAAAUUGCAGAGCUAUGGAUGCAGUACUUCUCAAAGAAAGACACAAUCAGUGCCGACAUCCCAGGUUCAACCUUUGACAUUAUUUUUGGUGUCAUACCAUCAACAUAACCCUGCAAAAUGCUAAAUGUCCACUUGGUGGCAGUAGAUACUUUCAAGAGUGGCCUUCAUGAGUCCAAUCAUGAGGAGUUUGUCUUAUGAAUAUCCUGAUCAUAGGCUAUCUGUGGCCUCUGAUGUUCUGUAAAACUUACCAAUAAGGUUGGGAACCAAGAAAAAUACAGAAAAAUGUGACAUUAGCAGUUGUAAUGUGUGUGUUCUUCGUAAUUUAUUCAGUAGCUCCAUAAUACUUCUAAUGAAUCUAAAAUGUGAAACAGACAGUGGUUCGAUUGCCGAAUGAAUCCGUUCAAUAAGUCGGUUCUUUUUAGUGAAAACAUACAGCACAACUUGUGUAGUUCAAUUUCUCUCGUUUGAUUCCGUUUACUCUCUUGAGGCAGUCAUUUUUAGUGAAUCAAGCACAUGAAGAUGGUUCUUUUUAUAGUGAAUAAAUUGACUAAGGCCCAAUUCCUGAAUGAAUCACUUUAAUGAAUCAAAUACACAGCGCAACCAGCAUAGUCCAAUUCCUGAAUGAGUGACUCUAAUGAGCCGACUCUUUUUAAAGAAUUAAACUUAUAGCACAACCAGCGUAGUCUGAUUUCAUAAUGAAUCACUUUCAUGAGACAGGGUCUUUUUUAUUGAAUCAAACACAUAGCGCAACCAGUGUAGUUUGAUUCCUGAGCAAAUCACUUUAAUGAGGUGAUCACUUUAAUGAGGGAGUUAUUUUUAAUGAAUCAAACAUUCAGUGCAACCAGUGUAAUUCAAAUUCCUGAAUGAGUGACUCUAAUGAGCCGACUCUUUUUAAAGAAUUAAACUUAUAGCACAACCAGCGUAGUCUGAUUUCAUAAUGAAUCACUUUCAUGAGACAGGGUCUUUUUUAGUGAAUCAAACACAUAGCAACCAGUGUAGUUUGAUUCCUGAGCAAAUCACUUUAAUGAGGUGAUUUUUUUUUUUACGAUUCCCAUCCUUAUGUACCAGCAUGUACAUUACCAGAAAGUUAAAUCUUCAUACUAAUGAUAUAUAAUCUAUGAUAAUAGAUAUAUAAUAUAUGAUAAUGUAUUUUUUGCAGUUUCUGUUCACUCUGCCCCAGAAGGAGG